This 2097-nucleotide long non-coding RNA is filed under the name Homo sapiens (human). RNAcentral describes it as "non-protein coding PART1:5". The stretch from base 147 to 396 matches the Rfam family "Prostate androgen-regulated transcript 1 conserved region 2". The record is from RNAcentral. Lineage: Eukaryota; Metazoa; Chordata; Mammalia; Primates; Hominidae.
GAUUACUCACACAGUCUUGAAGAUGCAAUGUCAGCUAUUUAGGACAGAAACAUCCAAGGCCGUGUCAGAACUCAAUUACGACUACAUAUGCAUUAAGGCAGGAACUGGCAGGCCUCAGGGUACGCCAACUAUAGGACUCGUGCUUCUCGUACGCUGGGCUAUAAUCUAUGAAACUGAGCUCCAGAGCCAGCCAAUCACUUAGCUCCUCAUAACAAGUCUAACUGGCUCUGGAAAGCUGAAAGGGCUGCACUGGAACAACACAGAUGAGAUAUUCUACACAUUAAUCUACUUAUCUGGAAUCACUUUGCCUCUAAAGGCCAGAGAAAAAUCACAGCUUCCUUGUCGGAGGGGAAAAGGACAGGUGAUCUGGGGAAAACGCAGCUACACCUGGAGCAAGGUCUCUUCCCGGCUUGGCAAUCUCAGCUGUGCCGGCGCUACGGGACCCGAGCCGUCCCAGAAACCAAAGGGCAGGCACGGCAGCAAACGCCUGAGUGCUGCUGCCUUCGGUGACUAUAUGAGAAUGGAAACUUCUAAGGAAGCCAGGUUGUUAGAAUUGUUACCCCCUUUACUCAGAGAUAACAUAGAUUAUCCAGGCUGAGAUGGAAAACAAGCCCUUUAUUGAAUUUUCAACACAGACUCCCUGCUUCUCAUCUCCUUAAUAAAAUUUCAUUAAAAUCCCCUUGAACUCCCAUGUUCAAAUCUCCAUUUGUUGACAGACAAAGCCAACAAUACUCUAAACUGAGGCCUGCAAGUCAUUUCAUUUGUAUUUUUGUCCAGAAAUUUCCCAUAGGAAGACUUCACCUCCUACAACUCCGAAGAAAACCCUUACUGUCCAAGACCGUCACCAGCAACCAUCCGCAGUCAUUCAAGUGGAAGCUUUCACAGCUUUUGUACAUUCUCUGUGUCAAUAUACAACUGAGUUACAGACUGUCCCCUGGCUCCCUGACCCUUACAAACACUAAAAGUUUUGUUUGACUCAACUUCAAGCUGCUCAUCUGUUAGUAAGUGAUGUUCACUCCAGAACACAUUCAUGAUGAGAACUUUCUAAAAGACCAGCACUGCUCUUCCCCUCCUAUAAUCAUAAUAAUCAUGAUAACCUGAAACAUGUUACUGGGACUCGACAUUUUUCUGGGGAUUGAAAUCUUUAGUCCUUGGAGCUGUCACAUAGCAGGGGCAACCUCACACUGAAACAAAGGAAGUGAUGUCCCAUUAUUAUCCACCCUGAGCCACCAUAAUAUGCUGUUUACAUUUAUUUUCUUCAGCCUGUGCAAAACAAAGCAAUGGAAAAGGAAACUAAAAAAUAUACAUACUAGUACCAUUAUCUUCUUUUGCCUAAAAUUACUAAUGCACCACGUCAGUCUGCUUCCUUCAGGCAUCAUUCUCAAUUCAUCAGGACUUGUAUUAGCAGGUUCUGGCUAGAGAGACUAUCUCCUGUCAUCACGAUCAAUUAAUGUUUUCUGGUGAUCACAUCAGGCCCUAUCUAAGAAGCUCAUGGUAUACAAGGGUCACCCAAAUAGCUGAGUGCAGUCCUUGCUCAUAUUUCCUUCAUCUUAACCCCGCAAACAAGAAUUAAGAUGAUCCCAAUAAAAGAAAAAUUGCUCAGGAAACUGAACCUUUUUCUGAACCAAGCACUGUCAGCAAAUCUCAGGUAUUAGAGCAACUAUGGUUGAUUGAAAAGUGUCUCAAAAUCUGGGCCAAGAAUGAUUGCUAGGUCCAUAAGCUAAUUUGUCUGGCCUUGCCAUUUACGUAAGCCAAAGAAAGUCACUCAUGAGUAAACUAUAGAAAACGUUCAGACCCAUCCUGUUAGUAUGUCAAAUCAACUAAGACUGGCAGGGUAUUAACUCCAUUCCAGGUGACAUGGAUAAAGAGCCCCAUUAUUUUCACAGUGCCAGCCUCUACCUAAGGAAACCCUAGACCUUGGAACCAGUUUCCUGGUAGGGAACUGCUGACAGUUUCAAUGCUGACAGUUGGAGCCAAUGCCUCAUAGUGUAAACUGAAAGAAAAAUAGUUGCUUUUUAAAAUGUCAGCAAGAAGGCCUGCCUCAUCUUAACAAAGCAAAAAAAAAUGCUUUAAUUCAAAUUAAAAAUCAUGAUACUA